GUAUAAGAGACAGCAGUAGCCGCGGUAAUACGGAGGGUGCAAGCGUUAAUCGGAAUUACUGGGCGUAAAGCGCACGCAGGCGGUCUGACAAGUCAGAUGUGAAAUCCCCGGGCUUAACCUGGGAACUGCAUUUGAAACUGUCAGGCUGGAGUCUUGUAGAGGGGGGUAGAAUUCCAGGUGUAGCGGUGAAAUGCGUAGAGAUCUGGAGGAAUACCGGUGGCGAAGGCGGCCCCCUGGACAAAGACUGACGCUCAGGUGCGAAAGCGUGGGGAGCAAACAGGAUUAGAUACCCCGGUAGUCCCUGUCUCUUAUAC
Molecule: ribosomal RNA, 314 nt
Filed under: uncultured bacterium
Lineage: Bacteria
Description: partial 16S ribosomal RNA
Rfam family: Bacterial small subunit ribosomal RNA
Source: RNAcentral